This 253-nucleotide unclassified non-coding RNA is filed under the name uncultured Hypoxylon. RNAcentral's name for it is "sequence contains ITS2". The record is from RNAcentral. Lineage: Eukaryota; Fungi; Ascomycota; Sordariomycetes; Xylariales; Xylariaceae.
AACGCACAUUGCGCCCAUUAGUAUUCUAGUGGGCAUGCCUAUUCGAGCGUCAUUUCGACCCUGAAGCCCUAGUUGCUUCGCGUUGGGACUCUACUGGCUACCCUGUAGUUCCCUAAUGACAGUGGCGGAGUUCAGGUGUACUCUCAGCGUAGUAAUUUCAUCUCGCUUUUGCAGUAGCCUGGUCGCCGGCCGUAAAACCCCCUAUUUUCUAGUGGUUGACCUCGGAUUAGGUAGGAAUACCCGCUGAACUUAA